UUUGGGAGGAGAUUAAAAAAGCUCUGGGAAUUGUCAAAUAUAUACUGAAAACCUGCAAAUUUACUGUGCUAGAACAGAAUAUGAAAGAUUUAUCACUAAAAUACUGGCCAAAUAAAGAUUGAAUUUCCAUUUUACAAAUAAUGAAGAUACGAUUAUUUCAUCCCAAGAGGUGGUUACUAACUUUCAUGUCCCGCAUAGGGAAAUUUUUACAUAUUUAAGAAUAAAACAUUUUCUAGCCAUUACUAUUUUAA
This is a non-coding RNA of Pelobates cultripes (western spadefoot toad), 251 nucleotides long. NCBI's taxonomy places the organism in Eukaryota, Metazoa, Chordata, Amphibia, Anura, Pelobatidae. The record is from the annotation of a GenBank genome assembly.